RNAcentral lists this ribosomal RNA (475 nucleotides) under uncultured organism. Its description in RNAcentral is "partial 16S ribosomal RNA". It matches the Rfam family "Bacterial small subunit ribosomal RNA", at positions 330 to 801 of the family's 1533-position model. The record is from RNAcentral.
CGUACACUCCUGCGGGAGGCAGCAGUGAGGAAUAUUGGACAAUGGGUGGAAGCCUGAUCCAGCCAUCCCGCGUGCAGGAAGACGGCCCUAUGGGUUGUAAACUGCUUUUAUCUGGGGAUAAACCUACUUACGUGUAAGUAGCUGAAGGUACCAGAAGAAUAAGCACCGGCUAACUCCGUGCCAGCAGCCGCGGUAAUACGGAGGGUGCAAGCGUUAUCCGGAUUUAUUGGGUUUAAAGGGUCCGUAGGCGGACUGAUAAGUCAGUGGUGAAAUCCGACAGCUUAACUGUCGAACUGCCAUUGAUACUGUUAGUCUUGAGUAAGGUUGAAGUGGCUGGAAUAAGUAGUGUAGCGGUGAAAUGCAUAGAUAUUACUUAGAACACCAAUUGCGAAGGCAGGUCACUAAGUCUUAACUGACGCUGAUGGACGAAAGCGUGGGGAGCGAACAGGAGUAGAUACCCCAGUAGUCCCAUGAU